This 496-nucleotide ribosomal RNA is filed under the name uncultured bacterium. Its description in RNAcentral is "SSU rRNA". It matches the Rfam family "Bacterial small subunit ribosomal RNA", at positions 26 to 521 of the family's 1533-position model. The record is from RNAcentral.
AGAUUGAACGCUGGCGGCAUGCCUUACACAUGCAAGUCGAACGGCAGCACGGGGGCAACCCUGGUGGCGAGUGGCGGAACGGGUGAGUAAUACAUCGGAACGUGUCCUGUAGUGGGGGAUAGCCCGGCGAAAGCCGGAUUAAUACCGCAUACGAUCUACGGAAGAAAGCGGGGGAUCGCAAGACCUCGCGCUAUAGGGGCGGCCGAUGGCAGAUUAGCUAGUUGGUGGGGUAAAGGCCUACCAAGGCGACGAUCUGUAGCUGGUCUGAGAGGACGACCAGCCACACUGGGACUGAGACACGGCCCAGACUCCUACGGGAGGCAGCAGUGGGGAAUUUUGGACAAUGGGGGAAACCCUGAUCCAGCAAUGCCGCGUGUGUGAAGAAGGCCUUCGGGUGUAAAGCACUUUGUCCGGAAGAAACCUUUGCACUAUACUGUGAGGGAUGACGGUACCGGAAGAAUAAGCACCGGCUAACUACGUAGCCAGCAGCCGCGGU